CGGUCACAUCAUUGAAACAUUGGUUCCCGUACAAUCACUGAAGUUAAGCAAAGUCGAGCCUGGUCAGUACUUAGAUGGGAGACCGCUUCAGAAUACUACAUUCUGU
This is a non-coding RNA of Acanthosepion pharaonis, 106 nucleotides long. The record is from the annotation of a GenBank genome assembly. Lineage: Eukaryota; Metazoa; Mollusca; Cephalopoda; Sepiida; Sepiidae.